UUUCGCAGUCUUGUGCAUUUGCUAUCCAUCUAUUGGGAAAGCUGCCCCGUCCACCUGACCCUUUAUUUCGGAGGCAUUUAAUCAUCUCCAUAGGAUCUUUUCCGAGAAAUCGUCCCUAAAACCCUUGUCUGGGCUUCCAGAUUGUCCAUUUUACUCUCUCGUAGAAGUUACUGCAUUCUGAUAAUUAACUUAUUUGUCCGACUCUCCCACACUGCAUUGUGUUCUCUUUGAGGGCAGGGACACAUUCUUCUUUAACAUUCUUCCUCCAGUGUCAGGCUCAUCGUUGAUGAUAAAAAUAAUGUUUGAUGGCUGGAUGGUCGCACAACAGAAGGAUGGACAGAAAGAAGGAACUUACCAAUGGACCAAGAGAGAGGAAAAAACGGAGUUGUGACUUAACCCUACGUCCCACAGCGAAUUAGUAGCAGAGACAGUGUAACUGAAUCCAGAAUUCAUCUCAGAUACUCUCUGCUGUGUCCCCAAGCGUCUCCGUAUCCUGAGGUGAUUAUCUGGAUGUGCAGAUACGUUCUACAGAUGGGUGCAGGGAAUGCGUGCGAAUGCUGAAACCGUCAUCCCAAGCGGUCUGAGGGUGGCCUCAGCACAGCAGAGAGGGCUUAGAACGCCCCACUGGGAGAGAGCUUCCAGCCCGUUUUCUCCCUGUGGCUUCUGGUGUGACUGCUACAGAAGUCCACCAGCUGCCGAGACCCAGCUCCUCCAGAAGAUGGCAGAGCAGAAGGGGAGAACUGCAUCGGCUGCGUUAUCUCAUCUUCUCAUUUUACUGUUCCUUCCUCUGCAGAAGAAAAUAUUAAAAAGGCUGUAUCUGCUUCAGGAUUGUUGCAAGAUUACGUGGUUUACAUAUGAGACAAGAUGAGUGGCGGCAAGUGCUAGAAAGUGGUCGCCCAGCAGCGGGACGCCCUCUCGCUCCGGGAGCCGUGUGUGCAGCGCACCUGUCCAGGUGUGAGUGAGGGAGCAGUGCCCGACGGGGCGUGCACUACCCGGGACGGGGUGUGUGUUGAAAAUGGAUGCUCUGUAGUGGUGAUGGCUAGAUGCAGAGACCAGCUCAGCAGAUUCCUGGAAGGGUGCAGUCGCCCCUCCGGAGCUGUGCAGGCCAGCUUAGCACAGCUGCUCGGCCCAGCUCCUGGGUUACAUGACAACACAGAUGAAGACUGGCCUGUGACCGCUGUACGGCCAGAUUGUUGUCCAGCAUGGCCGGACCAAGCCGCCUUCCCACCAGCAUGCCCGGGGGCCGCACGUCCCUCGGAAAGGGGCGUCGCCCAGGGGAGGGAAAUGCGCGGACACUGCACUGCUGGGCAGGGCUCGGAGCAGUAGCCGCACCUGCCCUGAACGUGAGCUGAUCUUGUGGGCACAGCACUUAGUGAUUGCAAGCAGGAGCAGGUGGGGUCUGGAGCACGCUGUGCUCAUUGAAAUGCAUACGAGACAAUAGUCUUGUUUCCCCCACAAACACAAGAAUCAGAAGAUGCACAUCAGAUGUAUCUGAGUGGCUGCCCACGGAGGGUAGAGGUUUGCUACGUCAGCACUGUUUACGGAGCAUUCCAUGGGAUGGUAUGUCCAUAAGCCGCUAACGCCAUACUGGCCACUUGGCCUUUUCCCUCGCCUGCGGCCAGCAGAAGCUACACUGACUUAAUGAGCCACGUUCAAGGUUGUAUUCCUACUGUCUCUCGUGAAUCUGUGCGAUACUGCAUGUUUAAAUAAUUUCCAGAAAAUAAAAACACCUGGGCCCUGCGUGUACUGUAGCCUGUAGUUACGCAUCACCUUCCGUGCCGGAGCGACUACAGUGACCCUCAGACCGCCACGGCAGUCUGUCGGUGUUGGCCGUGCUUGCCACAGUCACGACUCCCUUACGUGUUGUCCCACUUCAUCUUCACAAAGGAGAUUUGAAGCUUAGAGAAGCCAAAUGUUUUGCCCAAGAUGAGAGAACUGGCGAGGAUGAGGGCAGCAGCUGCCCGUAAAUACAUGAGUUCCCCGGCACUCCACCAGGGAACGGGAAGGUCCGUGCGGACUUCGAGGCCGUGAGACCAGGGCGCUGUGCGUGCACACCUCGAGGACGCUCUGGUUCUCUGUGCUGAGCCAGAGGCGAGCACCAGCGCAGGGACUAACUCCCAGGUGGGAGUUAAAGCUGGCAGGGACCUUGGAGAGGCCGGGACAGCGAGCAGCCCUUGUGUUCAUGUACACGGCGAGAGGAACACGGCUCAGAAGACGCAAGUUUCCUCGUUCGCCCCAGGUCACAUGGAGAUUUCCACACAGCCAAAACAGGAAGCCCAGUUUCUAACCCUCAGGCCAGGAGUGGCUCAUAGCAUCAGGUAGAUGAGAAACCCUGGAAGCCAGCAGGGCCUUUCGGUAGCUUUAAAGCUCGGGCAAGCUGCUGGACGUCCUCGGGCUGCUGUUUCCUCGGGCAGGAGGGGUAUGCUUCAUCGUGGCUCGUACGACCCAUAUGGCUGAUGCAAAGAUUGGU
Long non-coding RNA from Molossus molossus (Pallas's mastiff bat), 2470 nucleotides. RefSeq lists it as uncharacterized. NCBI's taxonomy places the organism in Eukaryota, Metazoa, Chordata, Mammalia, Chiroptera, Molossidae. The transcript has 5 exons. The record is from RefSeq and is a predicted model, not a curated record.